GGCUGACUCAGAGGAUGAUGAUCAGCACGACAGUGCCUUCUGCCUGUGCUAGUACUAUGUGUUUAUAGGAGACAUGUUAUAAGGUGACAGUCACCAGUUCAGCUCCACCCCUUGAUCUGUUCACCAGGCAUUAUGGAGACUGGAAAGACCAAGAGAGCAAAUGGAGGAAGGAGCGUAUUAAUUGGAAUAAAUUUUAUAUUUUUUGGAAGUAAGAAAGAACAUUUCUCAAGGGCUUCCAGGAGGAUUGCACAGAGCUUGGACUACAUGUAGCUGAGAGGAGGAUGAGCAGAGACCUAUCUGUCUGAGAUCAUGUCACCCUAUUUAUUAAUGCACAGCAGAAUUCCUGCAGGUCAUGAUGGCGAAGGCAUCUGCUUUGCUCUUUGGGAAGCAAUUGAAUUUCAUCUGCUGUAUUACAGAGUGCUGUUCAACAAGGUAGCUGAUGUUGGAGUUGCUGUCCUGGCCAUU
This is a long non-coding RNA of Passer domesticus (house sparrow), 465 nucleotides long. RefSeq lists it as uncharacterized. Lineage: Eukaryota; Metazoa; Chordata; Aves; Passeriformes; Passeridae. The record is from RefSeq and is a predicted model, not a curated record. The transcript has 3 exons.